GACGAACGCUGGCGGCGUGCUUAACACAUGCAAGUCGAACGGAAAGGCCCUGCUUUUGUGGGGUGCUCGAGUGGCGAACGGGUGAGUAACACGUGAGUAACCUGCCCUUGACUUUGGGAUAACUUCAGGAAACUGGGGCUAAUACCGGAUAGGAGCUCCUGCUGCAUGGUGGGGGUUGGAAAGUUUCGGCGGUUGGGGAUGGACUCGCGGGUUAUCAGCUUGUUGGUGGGGUAGUGGCUUACCCAGGCUUUGACGGGUAGCCGGCCUGAGAGGGUGACCGGCCUCAUUGGGACUGAGGUAGGGCCCAGAGUCCAACGGGGGGCAGCAGUGGGAAGUAUUGCACAAUGGGAGGAAGCCUGAUGCAGCAGCGCCGCGUGCGUGAUGACGGCCUUCGGGUUGUAAACCGCUUUCGCCUGUUACGAAGCGUGAGUGACGGUAAUGGGUAAAGAAGCACCGGCUAACUACGUG
RNAcentral lists this ribosomal RNA (468 nucleotides) under uncultured bacterium. Its description in RNAcentral is "partial 16S ribosomal RNA". It matches the Rfam family "Bacterial small subunit ribosomal RNA", at positions 28 to 507 of the family's 1533-position model. The record is from RNAcentral.